AUGCUUCCAGAAGUUUCCAGACGAGGGCGCCGCCCCGAGAUGGCCCCGGCCUCCGCCUCCGCCUCCGUGGCCCCUCCCGUCGGCGCGCGCUGCGCCGUUUGCGGCGGCGUCGACAUCUCCGUCCCCCACCAGGCCAACUGCUCCCACUGGUUCUGCGGACAUUGCAUCGUGGGGGUGUGGCUACAGGGAUCUGUCCUUCGGCCAUCCAAUUGCCCUAUUUGCCGUCGCCCCAUAACGCUGCUGGUACCUUCUGAAGUUGCUUCCCUGCUGCGUGAUGAGCCAGAAAUCGCUCCUGUCAUGAACCGAAUUCAGCAGUACAAUGGCCGUUUUGCUGGAGUACCUCACAGUAUGAUUCAGUGGUUGCUGGACCAGCCCUUUUACAUGAGGAGAAUGCUGGCAGAAUUCAGAGACACACGCCAAGAACCUCCCUCCUUCAAAAUCCAAGUCGCAUUGGCAGCCACCCUCGCUCUGGUGUACCUCGCGAGCCCUAUUGACCUUUUCCCUGAAGCUUUCCUGGGGUACCGUGGUCUGCUGGACGACAUCCUGGUGCUCAUCGUCGCGUACGCCUUCAUCUCCGCCGCCUACCGGGACAUCCUCGUUGCCCGACACGCCACGUGA
This 618-nucleotide ribosomal RNA is filed under the name Triticum aestivum (bread wheat). Its description in RNAcentral is "partial small subunit ribosomal RNA". Lineage: Eukaryota; Viridiplantae; Streptophyta; Magnoliopsida; Poales; Poaceae. The record is from RNAcentral.